GUUGAAUACCUUGCAAUAACAAUGACUUGUGCUCAAAAAGAGUCAAACAACAAGUGAUAUAACCAAAUGCAAGGUUGGAAGAAGAAAAAAAAGAUAUAGACAGGGAGAACUAGAUACAUAGCACUGAUAUAUUUUUAAAUUAUAGAGAGAGAGAGAGAGGUUGUAGGGGAUAUAAAGGGGAAAUUUUUUCUGAGGCGUUACAUGGCCAGUUGCCCAAGCAUCAUUGUAGAAAUGGCUUGAUUGGUUGCAAAUCAUAAGUUAAGGGAAAAACUCAUCGGAAACUCAGAGACUUGGCUUCAAAGUGAAUGUGUAAAAUGAAGCAUGACUAAUAGAAUCAUGGAUGUUUUUAUAUCUAUAGUAAAAUUAAUAACAUUCUAUUUAACUGACAGAAAAUCUCAUCAAAAUUCUAUUCAAUGCAAACCAAUACUUUGAGCAAAUCUUAUCAAAGCUAAAAAAGCUAUCCUUUGUAAAAGAGAAAAAUCUCAUUAAUAAAAUCAAAGAAGAAAUAAACUAUAUACUUCAACAAAUUUUCCCACUAACAUGAAAAAAUAAUCAUCAGAUUGCAACUAGACCCUGGAAGAAAAAACUUAAGAUAAAACAAACAGAUGAUACAUACCCCGUUCUCUGUUCUAGGAUUGCCGGAAAGUGCAUCUUCACAAAAGUG
RNAcentral lists this unclassified non-coding RNA (664 nucleotides) under Hevea brasiliensis (rubber tree). Lineage: Eukaryota; Viridiplantae; Streptophyta; Magnoliopsida; Malpighiales; Euphorbiaceae. The record is from RNAcentral.